GUGUCCAUAGCUCAGCUGGAUAGAGCAACGGCCUUCUAAGCCGUGGGUCGGGGGUUCGAAUCCCUUUGGGCACA
RNAcentral lists this transfer RNA (74 nucleotides) under Eubacterium sp. Its description in RNAcentral is "tRNA-Arg". It matches the Rfam family "tRNA". From Rfam's summary of the family: Transfer RNA (tRNA) molecules are approximately 80 nucleotides in length. Their secondary structure includes four short double-helical elements and three loops (D, anti-codon, and T loops). RNAcentral also lists the same sequence under 47 other names. Lineage: Bacteria; Bacillati; Bacillota; Clostridia; Eubacteriales; Eubacteriaceae. The record is from RNAcentral.